RNAcentral lists this ribosomal RNA (486 nucleotides) under uncultured bacterium. Its description in RNAcentral is "partial 16S ribosomal RNA". It matches the Rfam family "Bacterial small subunit ribosomal RNA", at positions 30 to 507 of the family's 1533-position model. The record is from RNAcentral.
AUUGAACGCUGGCGGCAUGCCUUACACAUGCAAGUCGAACGGCAGCACGGGUGCUUGCACCUGGUGGCGAGUGGCGAACGGGUGAGUAAUACAUCGGAACAUGUCCUGUAGUGGGGGAUAGCCCGGCGAAAGCCGGAUUAAUACCGCAUACGAUCUACGGAUGAAAGCGGGGGACCUUCGGGCCUCGCGCUAUAGGGUUGGCCGAUGGCUGAUUAGCUAGUUGGUGGGGUAAAGGCCUACCAAGGCGACGAUCAGUAGCUGGUCUGAGAGGACGACCAGCAACACUGGGCCUGAGACACGGCCCAGACUCCUACGGGAGGCAGCAGUGGGGAAUUUUGGACAAUGGGCGAAAGCCUGAUCCAGCAAUGCCGCGUGUGUGAAGAAGGCCUUCGGGUUGUAAAGCACUUUUGUCCGGAAAGAAAUCCUUGGCCCUAAUACGGUCGGGGGAUGACGGUACCGGAAGAAUAAGCACCGGCUAACUACGUG